This 465-nucleotide ribosomal RNA is filed under the name Vreelandella stevensii. Its description in RNAcentral is "partial 16S ribosomal RNA". It matches the Rfam family "Bacterial small subunit ribosomal RNA", at positions 338 to 795 of the family's 1533-position model. The record is from RNAcentral. Lineage: Bacteria; Pseudomonadati; Pseudomonadota; Gammaproteobacteria; Oceanospirillales; Halomonadaceae.
CCUACGGGAGGCAGCAGUGGGGAAUAUUGGACAAUGGGGGCAACCCUGAUCCAGCCAUGCCGCGUGUGUGAAGAAGGCCCUCGGGUUGUAAAGCACUUUCAGUGAGGAAGAACGCCUGGUGGUUAAUACCCAUCAGGAAAGACAUCACUCACAGAAGAAGCACCGGCUAACUCCGUGCCAGCAGCCGCGGUAAUACAGAGGGUGCGAGCGUUAAUCGGAAUUACUGGGCGUAAAGCGCGCGUAGGUGGCUUGAUAAGCCGGUUGUGAAAGCCCCGGGCUCAACCUGGGAACGGCAUCCGGAACUGUCAAGCUAGAGUGCAGGAGAGGAAGGUAGAAUUCCCGGUGUAGCGGUGAAAUGCGUAGAGAUCGGGAGGAAUACCAGUGGCGAAGGCGGCCUUCUGGACUGACACUGACACUGAGGUGCGAAAGCGUGGGUAGCAAACAGGAUUAGAUACCCCUGUAGUC